GGGGUUGUAGCUCAGUGGUAGAGCACUUGCCUAGCACAUGUGAGGUGCUGAGUUCAAUCCUCAGCACCUCA
Molecule: transfer RNA, 71 nt
Filed under: Marmota marmota marmota (Alpine marmot)
Lineage: Eukaryota; Metazoa; Chordata; Mammalia; Rodentia; Sciuridae
Also listed under: 1 other name
Rfam family: tRNA
About the family: Transfer RNA (tRNA) molecules are approximately 80 nucleotides in length. Their secondary structure includes four short double-helical elements and three loops (D, anti-codon, and T loops).
Source: Rfam by way of RNAcentral